This 478-nucleotide ribosomal RNA is filed under the name uncultured bacterium. Its description in RNAcentral is "partial 16S ribosomal RNA". It matches the Rfam family "Bacterial small subunit ribosomal RNA", at positions 29 to 507 of the family's 1533-position model. The record is from RNAcentral.
ACGCACGCUGGCGGCGCGCUUAACACAUGCAAGUCGAGCGAUGAAAUUUCGACAGAUCCCUUCGGGGUGAAGAUGAAAUGGAUUAGCGGCGGACGGGUGAGUAACACGUGAGUAACCUGCCUUUGACAUUGGGAUAGCCUCGGGAAACUGGGAUUAAUACCAAAUGACACUAACUGAUCACAUGAUCAAUUAGUCAAAGAAAUUCGGUCAAAGAUGGACUCGCGGCUGAUUAGCUAGUUGGUGAGGUAACGGCCCACCAAGGCGACGAUCAGUAGCCGGCCUGAGAGGGUGAUCGGCCACAUUGGAACUGAGACACGGUCCAAACUCCUACGGGAGGCAGCAGUGGGGAAUAUUGCACAAUGGGGGAAACCCUGAUGCAGCGACGCCGCGUGAGCGAAGAAGGCCUUCGGGUCGUAAAGCUCUUUUAUGAGGGAAGAUAAUGACGGUACCUCAAGAAAAAGCCCCGGCUAACUACGUG